Molecule: ribosomal RNA, 775 nt
Filed under: uncultured Neocallimastigales
Lineage: Eukaryota; Fungi; Neocallimastigomycota; Neocallimastigomycetes; Neocallimastigales
Description: partial large subunit ribosomal RNA
Rfam family: Eukaryotic large subunit ribosomal RNA
Source: RNAcentral
GUAGUCUCGCACAGAUGCAUAUCAAUAAGCGGAGGAAAAGAAACUAACAAGGAUUCCCCUAGUAACGGCGAGUGAAGCGGGAAGAGCUCAAAUUUGAAAUCUUAAAGGGUUUCCCUUUACGAAUUGUAGUUUAAAGAAGUGUUUUCUGUUGAGGUUUUGGUAAAAGUUCUUUGGAAUAGGACAUCAUAGAGGGUGAGAAUCCCGUAUUUGACCUUUACUUUCAACUUUGUGAUACACUUUCAAAGAGUCGGAUUGUUUGGGAAUGCAGUCCAAAAUGGGUGGUAAAUUUCAUCUAAAGCUAAAUAUUGGCGAGAGACCGGAUAGCGAACAAGUACCGUGAGGGAAAGAUGAAAAGAACUUUGAAAAGAGAGUUAAACAGUACGUGAAAUUGUCAAAAGGGAAGCGUUUGACACCAGUGUUGUUUUUCUGAAAAUCAAUUAAAGAACUGUUUAUGCUAAGCUGUUUAGACUUUAUCAGCUAACUGUUUAGUUUUGAGCUUUUCCUUAAUGCACUUUUCAGUUAACAAGUCAACAUCAAUUUCUUUUGCUGUAAAAAAGCUUGAGGAAGGUGGCUUGAGAUUCGUCUUAAGUGUUUAUAGCCUCUUGCCUAUGCAGUCGGAGAGAUUGAGGUCUGCAGCGUAGAUCCUUCGGGGCUAAAUGCAUUUGUGCUAAGUUAUAGCAUUUUAUAGACAACUUGUUGACUAUGAUUUGUCCUGUAGCUUACUCGCUUAUGUUAUUUUACCUACGCUUAGGAUGUUGAUCUGUAGUGCGUGCGC